GACGUAGGGGGCCAGCGUUGUUCGGAAUUACUGGGUGUAAAGGGUUCGUAGGCGGUGUGGCAAGUCGGGAGUGAAAUCUCUGGGCUCAACUCAGAGACUGCUUCCGAAACUGCUGUGCUGGAGCGUGGGAGAGGCGCGUGGAAUUGCAGGUGUAGCGGUGAAAUGCGUAGAUAUCUGCAGGAACACCCGUGGCGAAAGCGGCGCGCUGGACCACUACUGACGCUGAGGAACGAAAGCUAGGGGAGCAAACAGG
Molecule: ribosomal RNA, 253 nt
Filed under: uncultured bacterium
Lineage: Bacteria
Description: partial 16S ribosomal RNA
Rfam family: Bacterial small subunit ribosomal RNA
Source: RNAcentral